AUUGAACGCUGGCGGCAGGCCUAACACAUGCAAGUCGAACGGUAACAGGAAGCAGCUUGCUGCUUCGCUGACGAGUGGCGGACGGGUGAGUAAUGUCUGGGAAGCUGCCUGAUGGAGGGGGAUAACUACUGGAAACGGUAGCUAAUACCGCAUAAUGUCGCAAGACCAAAGAGGGGGACCUUCGGGCCUCUUGCCAUCGGAUGUGCCCAGAUGGGAUUAGCUUGUUGUUGGGGUAACGGCUCACCAAGGCGACGAUCCCUAGCUGGUCUGAGAGGAUGACCAGCAACACUGGAACUGAGAAACGGUCCAGAUUCCUACGGGAGGCAGCAGUGGGGAAUAUUGCACAAUGGGCGCAAGCCUGAUGCAGCCAUGCCGCGUGUAUGAAGAAGGCCUUCGGGUUGUAAAGUACUUUCAGCGGGGAGGAAGGGAGUAAAGUUAAUACCUUUGCUCAUUGACGUUACCCGCAGAAGAAGCACCGGCUAACUCCGUG
Molecule: ribosomal RNA, 490 nt
Filed under: uncultured bacterium
Lineage: Bacteria
Description: partial 16S ribosomal RNA
Rfam family: Bacterial small subunit ribosomal RNA
Source: RNAcentral